UACGUGGGGUGCGAGCGUUGUCCGGAAUUAUUGGGCGUAAAGGGCUCGUAGGCGGUUUGUCGCGUCGGGAGUGAAAUCCACUGGCUUAACUGGUGGCUUGCUUUCGAUACGGGCAGACUGGAGGUAUGCAGGGGAGAACGGAAUUCCUGGUGUAGCGGUGAAAUGCGCAGAUAUCAGGAGGAACACCGGUGGCGAAGGCGGUUCUCUGGGCAUGUCCUGACGCUGAGGAGCGAAAGUGUGGGGAGCGAACAGG
RNAcentral lists this ribosomal RNA (253 nucleotides) under uncultured bacterium. RNAcentral describes it as "partial 16S ribosomal RNA". It matches the Rfam family "Bacterial small subunit ribosomal RNA", at positions 524 to 776 of the family's 1533-position model. The record is from RNAcentral.